CGGCGGUGUAACUUAAAUGGAAAAAGUUACGUUGCGCCAGGUUUUUGAGGAUUAGGCCCUAAGAGCUUUUCAUUAGAGCAAGCCAAUAGAGCCUGGUUAAUCUCUUGGCUGGAAGACACCAAUCACUAUCAAGCACUCUCUUCUCCCAAGCCUGAUUGGCUCUGGACCACUCAUUUUAUUCCUUGGAUUUCAGUCAUUUCAAAUGUAGAAGCUCAGUGUUACUCAAAGGAGCCUUCCCAGGAAAAGCCCACUACCCCAGACUGACAUUUAGUCCAUAGUUGCACAAGUCCCCCCUUAGGACCAGCCUACUGCUUGCAUCAGGGCUAAAGGCCCCUGGAAGGUGUAGUAAAGCCGGGUGCUGAAAUGCAUUCAGGAAGCUAUGUGUAGAACCCUGCUAUCCCUCCCAUCAGUCAUGAUUUGCCAGAGAAGCACAGAAAUCUGAUGACAUCAUUGGAUCUAAAGUCAGGUAUGUAAAGAAAAUGGAAGGGUUUUAUUUAAAAUUGUAUUUUAUUGUCAUUAGCAUGGGGAAGAAGAAACCAGGGAAGACGUAUAUAAGCAGAUUACAUUUAAGCUUUAAUACAAAUACAAUUUUAUAUCUGGUGAUUAUUGGCUUCACCAACCCUGAGAAAUAUUAUAAUGGCUCAUAAUUUGGUUGUCACUUUUUGACAGAAAUUGCAAAUGUUGUAUCUGGUAUUUAGGACUGAAAUUUUAAAUGAGAUGAAAAAAAAAAACUACAUAUAAAGAUAACAAAUGUCUUAUUUUUGCCAAAGGUGUAAAUAAAAAUAUUAAGGCAUGUGAAAUUAAAGUGGUUCUAAAGGCUCAAGGUUUUUUACCUCCAUGCGUACUAUGCAUGAAGUUAAAAAAAAAAAAAUAUGCAGCAGCCCCCCAAUACUUACCUAAACACGAUCUUCCUCCAGUGCUGUGCACGAGAGCCUCUGCUCUUUGGGGACUCUCCCUCAUUGGCUAAGACAGCAGCAGGAACCAUUGGCUCCCGCUGCUGUCAAUCACAGCCAGUGAGCCAAUGAGGAGAUACAGGAGCAACCUGAGUCACGGCUCUUUGUGUGAAUGGACACGCAGAGCAGCAGCUUGGAAGCGAGACUGCUUGGGUGCCCCCAUUGCUAGUUGCUUGCUCUGUGGGCACUCGGCAGAAGAGAGGGGGCCAGGAGCACUGGCGGGGGACCCGGGAAGAGGAAGAUCGGGGCUGCUCUGUGCAAAACUAUGCACAGAGCAGGUAAGUAUAACAUGUUCAUUUUAAUGUUAACAAAAUCUGAAGCUUUAAUAUCACUGUAAUACGCUGAAUACCAUCAUUGCAGGUAUUAACCUCAUACAGUUCUCAGAAUAUAUAUAUUUUUUAAUUGUGAUAACAGAGCAAACAUGUUAAGUAUUUAAACAUUUUAAAGGAAUGGUCCCUGCUAUAACUUUCAGUCAGGAAUACCAACUUUGAUGAGGGCAGUUAAAGUCAGGGCGGUUAAACUCUCAGUUUAAAAAUGAAACCAAAUCUGAAGGGCACAAAGAAACAUUUCCGGCUAGCAGAAAAUUUGUAGAGCAAGUUUUAAGAACUUUAAACGUUUUAAAAAUGUCUGGCAUGUUUGCUGUAAGCUUUCAGUUAACAGGUAGAAAAUAUACCUUUCUCAAAAAAAGCACAUUUGCUGAUUUUCUUGGUGCCUUACUUUACUUCUAUUAAGGUUCUUUACAGUACAAACAAGGAAGCUUAGAAAUCUCUGCAGUGUAUUAAUAUGGCAAGUGGAAAAAACUUUGUGAGCUUCUACACUCCUACCCUACAGUGAAAAUCAAGCAAAAUAUAAAAUAUUAAUAAAAUAAAAUAAUAAAAAUGUAUUUGAAUAUGAAAUUGUGAAAAUAAAAUAAAAAAAACAGCUGCCAACACUACCCACACUUCCCAAAUGUGACAAUACAAACUGAUAUAACAAAUGUGUAGUGCUAAAAAUAAAAUGAAAAUAGCAGUAAAUAUAAAAAAAAAAAAAAAAAAA
Long non-coding RNA from Rana temporaria (common frog), 1988 nucleotides. RefSeq lists it as uncharacterized. The record is from RefSeq and is a predicted model, not a curated record. Lineage: Eukaryota; Metazoa; Chordata; Amphibia; Anura; Ranidae. The transcript is spliced from 2 exons.